ACUACAACCCCCUUGAUGCCUCAUUGGGGGACCUACAUUUUGGUCACUAGUGAGUUUUAUGAAUAAUUCUGUGGCAGCUGAGGAAUGAGAUGGGUUAGAAGAAAAAAAAAUGUUGCAUUGAUUAUGGCAUGAGACUGUUUAAAAGAAUCAUGUUGAAAAAGGUCUUGCAUGAGAUGGGUUAAAAUAAGCAUCUGGGCUGUAGUAUGAGAUGGGUUAAAAUAAGCAUGUGGGCUGUAGUAUGAGAUGGGUUAAAACAAGCAUGUGGG
Molecule: non-coding RNA, 266 nt
Organism: Pelobates cultripes (western spadefoot toad)
Lineage: Eukaryota; Metazoa; Chordata; Amphibia; Anura; Pelobatidae
Source: the annotation of a GenBank genome assembly